CGUGUAGCGGUGAAAUGCGUAGAGAUGUGGAGGAACACCAGUGGCGAAGGCGACUCUCUGGUCUGUAACUGACGCUGAGGAGCGAAAGCGUGGGGAGCGAACAGGAUUAGAUACCCUGGUAGUCCACGCCGUAAACGAUGAGUGCUAGGUGUUAGGGGGUUUCCGCCCCUUAGUGCUGAAGUUAACGCAUUAAGCACUCCGCCUGGGGAGUACGGCCGCAAGGCUGAAACUCAAAAGAAUUGACGGGGGCCCGCACAAGCGGUGGAGCAUGUGGUUUAAUUCGAAGCAACGCGAAGAACCUUACCAGGUCUUGACAUCCUCUGAACACUCUAGAGAUAGAGUUUUCCCUUCGGGGACAGAGUGACAGGUGGUGCAUGGUUGUCGUCAGCUCGUGUCGUGAGAUGUUGGGUUAAGUCCCGCAACGAGCGCAACCCUUGAUCUUAGUUGCCAGCAUUCAGUUGGGCACUCUAAGGUGACUGCCGGUGACAAACCGGAGGAAGGUGGGGACGACGUCAAAUCAUCAUGCCCCUUAUGACCUGGGCUACACACGUGCUACAAUGGAUGGAACAAAGGGAAGCGAACCCGCGAGGUCAAGCAAAUCCCACAAAACCAUUCU
RNAcentral lists this ribosomal RNA (616 nucleotides) under Oceanobacillus kimchii. RNAcentral's name for it is "bacterial SSU rRNA". It matches the Rfam family "Bacterial small subunit ribosomal RNA", at positions 672 to 1288 of the family's 1533-position model. The record is from RNAcentral. Lineage: Bacteria; Bacillati; Bacillota; Bacilli; Caryophanales; Bacillaceae.